UUAGAGGGGCUAUUAAAAUUUU
This 22-nucleotide non-coding RNA is filed under the name Arabidopsis thaliana (thale cress). Lineage: Eukaryota; Viridiplantae; Streptophyta; Magnoliopsida; Brassicales; Brassicaceae. The record is from RNAcentral.